This 1658-nucleotide ribosomal RNA is filed under the name Salmonella enterica subsp. enterica serovar Typhimurium. Its description in RNAcentral is "partial 23S ribosomal RNA". It matches the Rfam family "Bacterial large subunit ribosomal RNA", at positions 583 to 2141 of the family's 2925-position model. The record is from RNAcentral. Lineage: Bacteria; Pseudomonadati; Pseudomonadota; Gammaproteobacteria; Enterobacterales; Enterobacteriaceae.
CUUCGGGGUGUGACUGCGUACCUUUUGUAUAAUGGGUCAGCGACUUAUAUUCUGUAGCAAGGUUAACCGAAUAGGGGAGCCGGAGGGAAACCGAGUCUUAAUUGGGCGUUAAGUUGCAGGGUAUAGACCCGAAACCCGGUGAUCUAGCCAUGGGCAGGUUGAAGGUUGGGUAACACUAACUGGAGGACCGAACCGACUAAUGUUGAAAAAUUAGCGGAUGACCUGUGGCUGGGGGUGAAAGGCCAAUCAAACCGGGAGAUAGCUGGUUCUCCCCGAAAGCUAUUUAGGUAGCGCCUCGUGAAUUCAUCUCCGGGGGUAGAGCACUGUUUCGGCUAGGGGGCCAUCCCGGCUUACCAACCCGAUGCAAACUGCGAAUACCGGAGAAUGUUAUCACGGGAGACACACGGCGGGUGCUAACGUCCGUCGUGAAGAGGGAAACAACCCAGACCGCCAGCUAAGGUCCCAAAGUCAUGGUUAAGUGGGAAACGAUGUGGGAAGGCCCAGACAGCCAGGAUGUUGGCUUAGAAGCAGCCAUCAUUUAAAGAAAGCGUAAUAGCUCACUGGUCGAGUCGGCCUGCGCGGAAGAUGUAACGGGGCUAAACCAUGCACCGAAGCUGCGGCAGCGAACGUAUCACCCAAGACAACUUUACGGAGUUGACGAUUGACGGAGCGAAGCGACGUCAAAGCGUUCAUUAAAGUCGAGUUGGCUUAGGGAUACGUUCGUUGGGUAGGGGAGCGUUCUGUAAGCCUGUGAAGGUGUGUCGUGAGGCAUGCUGGAGGUAUCAGAAGUGCGAAUGCUGACAUAAGUAACGAUAAAGCGGGUGAAAAGCCCGCUCGCCGGAAGACCAAGGGUUCCUGUCCAACGUUAAUCGGGGCAGGGUGAGUCGACCCCUAAGGCGAGGCCGAAAGGCGUAGUCGAUGGGAAACGGGUUAAUAUUCCCGUACUUGGUGUUACUGCGAAGGGGGGACGGAGAAGGCUAUGUUGGCCGGGCGACGGUUGUCCCGGUUUAAGCGUGUAGGUGUGUGUUCCAGGUAAAUCCGGUUCACUUUAACACUGAGGCGUGACGACGAGGCACUACGGUGCUGAAGCAACAAAUGCCCUGCUUCCAGGAAAAGCCUCUAAGCAUCAGGUAACAUCAAAUCGUACCCCAAACCGACACAGGUGGUCAGGUAGAGAAUACCAAGGCGCUUGAGAGAACUCGGGUGAAGGAACUAGGCAAAAUGGUGCCGUAACUUCGGGAGAAGGCACGCUGACACGUAGGUGAAGUGAUUUACUCAUGGAGCUGAAGUCAGUCGAAGAUACCAGCUGGCUGCAACUGUUUAUUAAAAACACAGCACUGUGCAAACACGAAAGUGGACGUAUACGGUGUGACGCCUGCCCGGUGCCGGAAGGUUAAUUGAUGGGGUCAGCGCAAGCGAAGCUCCUGAUCGAAGCCCCGGUAAACGGCGGCCGUAACUAUAACGGUCCUAAGGUAGCGAAAUUCCUUGUCGGGUAAGUUCCGACCUGCACGAAUGGCGUAAUGAUGGCCAGGCUGUCUCCACCCGAGACUCAGUGAAAUUGAACUCGCUGUGAAGAUGCAGUGUACCCGCGGCAAGACGGAAAGACCCCGUGAACCUUUACUAUAGCUUGACACUGAACAUUGAGCCUUGAUGUGUAG